AACUGAAGAGUUUGAUCAUGGCUCAGAUUGAACGCUGGCGGCAGGCUUAACACAUGCAAGUCGAGCGGGGGAAGGUAGCUUGCUACUGGACCUAGCGGCGGACGGGUGAGUAAUGCUUAGGAAUCUGCCUAUUAGUGGGGGACAACAUCUCGAAAGGGAUGCUAAUACCGCAUACGUCCUACGGGAGAAAGCAGGGGAUCUUCGGACCUUGCGCUAAUAGAUGAGCCUAAGUCGGAUUAGCUAGUUGGU
Molecule: ribosomal RNA, 249 nt
Filed under: Acinetobacter baumannii
Lineage: Bacteria; Pseudomonadati; Pseudomonadota; Gammaproteobacteria; Moraxellales; Moraxellaceae
Description: partial 16S ribosomal RNA
Rfam family: Bacterial small subunit ribosomal RNA
Source: RNAcentral